This 119-nucleotide ribosomal RNA is filed under the name Pteropus alecto (black flying fox). Lineage: Eukaryota; Metazoa; Chordata; Mammalia; Chiroptera; Pteropodidae. The record is from RNAcentral.
GUCUACGGCCACGCCACCCUGAACAAGCCUGAUCCCGUCUGAUCUCGGAAGCUAAGCAGGGUCGGGCCUGGUUAGUACUUGGAUGGGAGACCCCCUAGGAAGACCGGGUGCUAUAGGCG